Molecule: ribosomal RNA, 253 nt
Filed under: uncultured bacterium
Lineage: Bacteria
Description: partial 16S ribosomal RNA
Rfam family: Bacterial small subunit ribosomal RNA
Source: RNAcentral
UACGUAGGGUGCAAGCGUUAAUCGGAAUUACUGGGCGUAAAGCGUGCGCAGGCGGUUUCGUAAGUCUGUCGUGAAAUCCCCGGGCUUAACCUGGGAAUGGCGAUGGAGACUGCGAGGCUAGAGUUUGGCAGAGGGGGGUAGAAUUCCACGUGUAGCAGUGAAAUGCGUAGAGAUGUGGAGGAACACCGGUGGCGAAGGCGGCGACCUGGGUAGAUACUGACGCUGAGGUGCGAAAGCGUGGGGAGCAAACAGG